Malus domestica (apple) is the source of this 523-nucleotide non-coding RNA. The record is from RefSeq and is a predicted model, not a curated record. Lineage: Eukaryota; Viridiplantae; Streptophyta; Magnoliopsida; Rosales; Rosaceae.
CUCUCUCUCUCUCUCUCUCUCUCUCUCUCUCUCUCUCUCUCUCUCUCUCUCUCUCUCUUCCGUAGCCUUCCUCCUCUUCGCUCAUCACACCCUCUGUCUCCCGUAGGCUUCCUCAUUUUCGCUCAUCACGCUCGAACCCCAAAUCUUGAACCCCAAAUUGCCCCAAUCUCGAACCACACUAUCGAUUGUCUCUCUCCCUCUCGUUCUAAACGACGGGCAGCCACCACCCCCUUCGUCGUGCUCGUCUCUCUCCUUGAAAGGCAUGGGAUGGAUUUCAAGGUUUAAAAGAUGUUCUCUGGCUCCCAAUUCGAUGCCACGAACGCCUUCUCCGGCGGCGGUUUCAUGGCUUCUCAGUCCACUCAAUUCGGCGAUUCCACUCCCUCUCCGGCCAAGAGUUCCAUGCAGAUCUGGCAUGUGUACCACACCGUUGCAUGUCACAUCUUCUCAGCUGAUUGCUAGUGAAAUCUUUCCUGUUACUGCAGUCAAGGCCCUCCUCUACCCCGGAAUUGGGUUUUUUUUUUUU